CAGGAAGCGGGCACUGAGUCUGGGACACAGGGGUUCUCAGAAAACACACUGAAUAAAACCGCACAGCAGACUUGAAGCUGGCGGUUUCUGCAACCCGGAGGCCGUGUUCAGAGGUCACCGAGUUCUGGACUCCCUCUGGGACAAGUUUCCCUUGUCCUGGGUUCUCUUAACCGGACCUCCUGCGGUUGCUCGGUCUCUUUUUAAACGAGUUAUGCACCCAAGGAUGGCCAGACUCUUUUUUUUUGGCAGGACAAAACAAACACAGGUAAGAUGAAAGAGCCCGCAGCCUCCACCCCAUCCCAGCCCUGUGGGCUCCCCAGGUAAUUAGGUUCCAAUGCCUCACCAGCACCUGAUAGCAUCAAACCUAUGGCUUGUUAGUCUGGUGGGUGGAAAAUGGCUUCGUUUUGUCCAGUAGUGCAGCGGUUUGGAGCGUGGACUUUGAGUCCAGGUUGUCUGGGGCCCAAUCCUGGCCCUGUGACAGUAGUAAUAGCAGGAACAAGAGAGCCUGGCUCCCUUGGGGGCUGUACAGCUACAGAUGACCACAGUGGUCUCUCUGGGCUGGUGGCUAGGCACGAUCGCUGACUCCUACUCAGUACUUGGAUGGGACUGGCCUGGGUGAGCGCCCUGUAGGGGGCUGGCUUUUGUCAUCACCAGUCAUUCUGGGUCCCUCGGGAUGUCAGGCUGCCCCUCUCCCACCCUGCACCUUCACUUUCAAUUCAGGGUCAGCAGUUCCCACAUUUCCCAGGCUCUGCACCAAGGCUGGGAAAGACCCUGGCCGCUCAGGGUUCUGUGGCUUCUCUGUGGCCCCUUCAACGUUCAGUCGUCAGGAAGGGAGACUCAAUUUCUAGGAUGAGGAGGGUGCUCUGUUUCUCCCAGUUGGGAUCACUGAGGCUCUGAGCAGGGAAGGACUCCUCUGGAGGCAAGAGGGCACAAAGAACCAGGCCAAUGUCCCAUAAGCCCCUCCUCCUCUUCAGGGCCAAUCCUGACUGACCAGAGGCAGUUUCCUGGGAGCUGGGUUAAGAAGGAUUCUGAGGCACAGCUCUCUUACUUGCAAGGUGCUCUUGUGGACAGCCUUUCUGCACCAGGUCCUCAGGGAGAAGAGGGCAUGUGUACCGUGUCACCUGGGGGCUCUCCCAACAUUCACCUAGACAGUUCUUACAUCCCCCACCUGCAGACAGAACCGAUUUGGGAGGAAGAAUCAGUUGACAGGGGAUGAGGGGAUUGCUCCUUCCUCUACCUCCACCCCCACUGUGAGGCUCAGCUUUAACUUUAAAAUCAGUGAUUACCAACCCAGGGAAGGGGGGCUUUAAGGCUCUCUGUAUCUGUUCCCUGUGAAUGAAAGAUUAACAAGAAGUGGUUUAAACACCCGAGAAGAUGGUAUGUGCAUUUAUCAGAUAAUAGGAUUCUAUUUACAGUUUUGAAAUUUAUACAAACUCUGUCCAGGACACAUUUUUCCCCCCUAUAAAAUGUCUCCAUAAAAGGACCCCCUGCCUCUGCCUGGAUGAUUUUAUUUCAUGAACAAUCCAUUUGUGAGCAGGAAGUCACCUUUAAGGAUCCUAGUAGCCUCCUCAUCUUGGGGGUUGACCCGCUUCUCCCUGUGUGGGGGGGCGGGGGGUUCGAGGUUCUAUGAGUUUAUUUCUUGACAUCCACCAGAGAAGGUUCUUUGCUGGAGAACCACGUCUGCUCUGCCCACUGCUGUGUUCCAGGUUCCCAGGACCAGGAAUCUUCGAGGAAGGAAAAAUGAUCACGUGAGCCCCUCCCCGUGGGCGCUGCAUGGGGGACCUGAGGGAACAUGUUGACAUGAGCAUCCGUGUCCUUUAAACACUUCCACAUCUGUGCACAUCAGCAUUACCAAUGCACGUUUUUACAGAACCGCAUGUUCUUGGCGAUGACCUAGCUCUGUGUCCAAGUGCUCGGGUUAAGAGCUUUCUAUGGAAGCCCUGGACAUGCGGUUACUGUGUUUUAUAAAUAAGGACACAAAGUGUCUGUGUUAAACUCUCCAAUCCUAGAAGACUAGUUCUGGGAGAAGCAAAAGUUUCCAUCUUCACAUGAGUUUGGGAAAUCUGGAAUUAAACGGAACUAACCAGGCCUCUACAUGCAGAUCGACUGGGAUACUUUAAAUGCCAAAGUGGCCCUCGGGGUGGCAUUCCACUGUCACCCCAGCGAGGCUGAGGCAGGAGGAGGGAGAGUUCAAAGCCAGCCUCCACAAAAGCGAGGCCCUAAGCAACUCAGUGAGACCCUGUCUCUAAAUAAAAUACAAAAUAGGGCUGGGGAUGGGGCUCAGGGGUCGAAUGCCCCUGAGUUCAGUCCCUGCUACCAAAAUGGAAAAAAAAAAAAAGCCAAAGUGCUGGUUACUCUCUAAAUACAGAAAGAACACACUUCACUUAACAAACUCAGUGAUCUUGAGACUCUGCUAGACCCUCCUUUAGAGAGGACUUUACAGUAAACGUAUACAAUGCUAAGCAGACUGCACCCAGCCAGGAGUCUGCACACUGUUGAGGGACCUUUAAGAGCCCGGCCUUGUGAAUGACCCUGUCCAUAUGAAGAUGGGUAAGGAGUGAGGGGCUCCCUCGAGCUCACAGUUCAGGGAAGUCAGAGGAUCGGAGCUCCCUGCUGCAAUGUCAGGAGCCCCACGUCACUGAUGGAGAAGUUAGGGGCUCAGACAUCUGGAAAGUCCAAGACGGGAAGAGAGAAGAAAAUGAGAACUGAUGACAGACAGUGAGGACCCGGGUGGCACAGGAAGAAGGGGUGGCCCAGCUCCCAGGAGGCGCCCCAGCAGGCUCCCACCCACUGCCCACCUGAGCAACGCUGUGGAGCACCCCCCAGGAAUCAAGGGACAAAGUGACACUCAGACCAGGUGCCUAGAAUGCAAAGAGGGAACAGGAAGGUCCAGCGGGUUCUUGGGUGCCCCAGUCACCAGACCUGUGGCUUUCCUGGGCACGGGCAACCAGGGUGAUGGGUUGAAGCGCUGUCCAUUUCUCCCGAGGUAACUCGCGCGACUCCAGCCCUGGUGCUGAAGGAUGUCCCAGGCCUUGUGAUCGUCCCCGGCGUUGGUGUGGGGAUGGGGUGGAGGAGGCUGGAGAGAGGAGUCCUGUCCUUUGAAGCAGAGAAGGUCCUUCUGGCAGCUGUGGUGGGCAAACCCCCAACCAAGGACUGCGGUGUCCCCUCAGGGGACACAGCAAGGGUGCCACCAGCACCGGUCACUUCAUACGCACGCUCAAAUGAAGUAGGGCGAGGAGAGCCUGCUGCACAAGGGUAUCACUGGUCCCUCCAUAAAGAAGGACAGGAAGGGGACAGCUUGGCUUUGCUCUUGGUCUCAAGUGACUUUCACACUGAGGAAAAUUCCCGAAUAUCCCGACCCAACCGUGACCCCAUGUCCUUCUCUUGUGUUUCUAGGGUGGCACCCGGUUCCAUGUCAACUGCCACCGCUGGACCUGUGCACGGCUCUGGCCUGAGAGACGAGCAGGUGGUGAGAAGCACCUGGGACAUGUCACAUUCUGAAAUGUCACCCGUGGCCACUGAACAGACGCCGCCCCUCCCACUCCUCUGCAUGCCCCGCGUCAGGGACCUGGUUCUAGAACGACCCUCUGCCACCUUCCUGGUGAACAGGCUCAAGGUAGGAGGGAGCUGUCACUAGGCCACGAGGGACAACUCCAACGCCAGGGAUUUCAAUACCAGGACUUCUUGAGUCCCUCUGGAUGGGGAGGGGAUGUCCAACUGGACCCCUGCUGCCCACGAGCCAAGGAUGGUUCUGACAUUUUUGGAUGGUUGGAGGACAAAAGUAAAGAAGAAGAAAAAGACGUGAUGAAACAUGGAAAUUAUAUGAAAUUUAAAUCUCAGUGUCCGUCAGUAAAGUCAGUGGACCGCAAGUCACACCAGCUCAGCAGCGGACCCUGCACGCUGGGCCCUGCCUCAGGACCUGACCUAGGAUGGGGACAGAAAAAAGUCUGGGGAAAAUACCGUCUCAAUCUCUUAACCUGGGCAUCACUCACGCCUGACCAUUUCCAGACUGGAUCCCUCCCCAUUGAUUAGACUUAGUAGGGAAGUCUGGGGGCGUUCUGUCCCUCUGGUCAGCUUUGCCUGGGGACACCCUCUGAUGUCAUUCUACUCCCUGCCUUGAGACCAGUCAAUGAUUUCCGCUGCUCAUGGUCCCACUCUUGAGCCUCACCUGAUCCAGCUCCACUUGCUCCCUGAACCAUAUCUCACUGAGACUCUUUAAACCUUUAGUUCCCUCUGCCACAGGGCCUUUGCUCCUGCUUUUCUCUUGCCUAGAUCUCACCCCACACCUGGUUCAUUGAAUUAACUCCUGUUUAUUCUGCAGUUUUCAAUUCUGUUCUCUUUUCCUCAGGGCAGCCUGUUCUAGGGCCAACUUCUCCAUUAGGCAUGGUGCCAAGGAUUGAUAGAUGCCUUUAGGGGGCUGUGGUGGGCGGGGGGUGUUUAAUUUCUUUUAAAAUCUAAAGGAAAAAACGUGGCUAUAGUAAUGGCUAUAUAAUGAUGAAACCAACCUGGAUUUAUAUCAAUGAAGUUGUAAACUGGAAACCUUUUUUCUUAAUGAGAGAGGGACCCAUGAAGGCAAGAGUCCCCGAGGACUUUUCUGACAUCCGCCUGGCCCCGUAAGGCUACCAGGGCAGGGCUUCCUGCUCAGGGCUUCCUUUGUACCUUCUGCCUCUGCCUAAGUCCUCCCCACAGUUGUUAUUUCACAUUUGUCCCCUAAUGAAAGCAGGGGCCCCACCAGACUGACCUGUGUUCACUGUCCCUUCCAACACAGGGCCUGGCACAGAGUAUUUGCUCAAUUAAUGUUUGCCUUGAACAUGACCAAGCGGAGACAAUCGUCCUGCACCUGAGGUCCCACGGGAACAUGCCCUCCAUCCCCUUUUAACUGCCUGCCUGGCCUGUGGAACCAGAGGGAAGGGACAGGACGGAAACAUAGAGGAAAGCCACACAAUGGAUGUGGGAGGACUGGUGGCCCCCAAGGUCCCCCUUGGGGACAGGCGGGGAGGGGUGGUAGAGAUUUCACAUAAACAAACAUUUCCUUGUCUGGCAGGUCACACUGUAAUUACACGCAGGUCAAGUGCUUCAGAGCUUGGAAGUCGGAUGGUCUCUGUUGGCGGAGGCCAUGGCAGCUCGAGGCCCCCGG
RNAcentral lists this long non-coding RNA (5137 nucleotides) under Marmota monax (woodchuck). Lineage: Eukaryota; Metazoa; Chordata; Mammalia; Rodentia; Sciuridae. The record is from RNAcentral.